RNAcentral lists this ribosomal RNA (440 nucleotides) under uncultured bacterium. RNAcentral's name for it is "partial 16S ribosomal RNA". It matches the Rfam family "Bacterial small subunit ribosomal RNA", at positions 338 to 795 of the family's 1533-position model. The record is from RNAcentral.
CCUACGGGUGGCAGCAGUGGGGAAUAUUGCACAAUGGGGGAAACCCUGAUGCAGCGACGCCGCGUGAAGGAAGACGUAUUUCGGUAUGUAAACUUCUAUCAGCAGGGAAGAAAGUGACGGUACCUGACUCAGAAGCCCCGGCUAACUACGUGCCAGCAGCCGCGGGAAUACGUAGGGGGCAAGCGUUAUUCGGAUUUACUGGGUGUAAAGGGAGCGUAGGCGGCGAUGCAAGUCAGGAGUGAAAGCCCGGGGCUCAACGCCGGGACUGCUUUUGAAACUGUAUGGCUAGAUUGCAGGAGAGGCAAGUGGAAUGCCUAGUGUAGCGGUGAAAUGCGUAGAUAUUAGGAGGAACACCAGUUGCGAAGGCGGCUUGCUGGACUGUAAAUGACGCUGAGGCUCGAAAGCGUGGGGAGCAAACAGGAUUAGAUACCCCAGUAGUC